GACGAACGCUGGCGGCGCGCCUAACACAUGCAAGUCGAACGAGAAAGGAAGAGCUUGCUCUUCUAAUCGAGUGGCGAACGGGUGAGUAACGCGUGAGGAACCUGCCUCAAAGAGGGGGACAACAGUUGGAAACGACUGCUAAUACCGCAUACGAUCUGACCUCGGCAUCGAGGAUAGAUGAAAGGUGGCCUCUAUUUAUAAGCUAUCACUGAAGGAGGGGAUUGCGUCUGAUUAGCUAGUUGGAGGGGUAACGGCCCACCAAGGCGAUGAUCAGUAGCCGGUCUGAGAGGAUGAACGGCCACAUUGGGACUGAGACACGGCCCAGACUCCUACGGGAGGCAGCAGUGGGGAAUCUUCCGCAAUGGACGAAAGUCUGACGGAGCAACGCCGCGUGAGUGAUGACGGCCUCGGUGUAAGACGUCUGUUAAUCGGGUACGAAAGGACCGUUCUUGUCGAAGUAGUUAGUAAGGAGUUAG
This 476-nucleotide ribosomal RNA is filed under the name uncultured bacterium. RNAcentral describes it as "bacterial SSU rRNA". It matches the Rfam family "Bacterial small subunit ribosomal RNA", at positions 28 to 494 of the family's 1533-position model. The record is from RNAcentral.